GAAAAACACAUCUUUAUUUUCUCCUUUGCUUAGAAUUAAAUCGCAUAAUAGUGUUAAAGGACAAACCAAAAUGCUUUUAAUAUUCAUACAUAACGCCACCAGCAGCCAGCCAGUAAGCAUAGCAAAAAACCAUGCCACAAGUAAACGAGUUUAAGAAAGAAUACCGUAAAAUCUAGCAAGACAAAUUAAUGGUAUCAUCAGCUUUAGCUUUCUGCUUUCCUCACAUAUCACCAGAACAAUCCUGCAACGAUUCUAAG
RNAcentral lists this unclassified non-coding RNA (257 nucleotides) under Hevea brasiliensis (rubber tree). Lineage: Eukaryota; Viridiplantae; Streptophyta; Magnoliopsida; Malpighiales; Euphorbiaceae. The record is from RNAcentral.